Molecule: ribosomal RNA, 247 nt
Filed under: uncultured bacterium
Lineage: Bacteria
Description: partial 16S ribosomal RNA
Rfam family: Bacterial small subunit ribosomal RNA
Source: RNAcentral
AUACGGAGGGUGCAAGCGUUGUCCGGAUUUAUUGGGUUUAAAGGGUGCGUAGGCGGCUAUUUAAGUCAGUGGUGAAAUCCUUCAGCUUAACUGGAGAACUGCCAUUGAUACUGAAUAGCUUGAGUAUAGUUGAGGUAGGCGGAAUUGACAGUGUAGCGGUGAAAUGCUUAGAUAUUGUCAAGAACACCGAUUGCGAAGGCAGCUUACUAAACUAUAACUGACGCUGAGGCACGAAAGCGUGGGUAUC